RNAcentral lists this ribosomal RNA (484 nucleotides) under uncultured bacterium. RNAcentral describes it as "partial 16S ribosomal RNA". It matches the Rfam family "Bacterial small subunit ribosomal RNA", at positions 29 to 507 of the family's 1533-position model. The record is from RNAcentral.
AUUGAACGCUGGCGGCAUGCUUUACACAUGCAAGUCGAACGGCAGCGCGGGCUUCGGCCUGGCGGCGAGUGGCGAACGGGUGAGUAAUACAUCGGAACGUGCCCAGUAGUGGGGGAUAGCUCGGCGAAAGCCGGAUUAAUACCGCAUACGACCUGAGGGUGAAAGCGGGGGAGCUUCGGACCUCGCGCUAUGGGAGCGGCCGAUGGCAGAUUAGCUAGUUGGUGGGGUAAAGGCCUACCAAGGCGACGAUCUGUAGCUGGUCUGAGAGGACGACCAGCCACACUGGGACUGAGACAGGGACCAGACUCCUACGGGAGGGAGCAGUGGGGAAUUUUGGACAAUGGGCGAAAGCCUGAUCCAGCAAUGCCGCGUGUGUGGUGAAGGCCUUCGGGUUGUAAAGCACUUUUGGCGGGAACGAAAAGGACUGUGCCAAUACCACGGUUCGAUGACGGUACCCGCAGAAUAAGCACCGGCUAACUACGUG